RNAcentral lists this ribosomal RNA (512 nucleotides) under uncultured bacterium. RNAcentral describes it as "bacterial SSU rRNA". It matches the Rfam family "Bacterial small subunit ribosomal RNA", at positions 28 to 526 of the family's 1533-position model. The record is from RNAcentral.
GACGAACGCUGGCGGCGUGCUUAACACAUGCAAGUGGAGCGACGAACCGGACUUCGGCCCGUGGCAGAGCCGCGAACGGGUGAGUAACACGUGGGUAACCUACCCCGAUGACCGGGACAACCCGAGGAAACUCGGGCUAAUACCGGAUGUUCUCACUUCUCGUAAGGGAAGUGAGCAAAGAUAGCUUCGGCCUUCGCAUCGGGACGGGCCCGCGGCCCAUUAGCUUGUUGGUGGGGUAAUGGCCUACCAAGGCUUCGAUGGGUAGCUGGUCUGAGAGGACGAUCAGCCACACUGGGACUGAGACACGGCCCAGACUCCUACGGGAGGCAGCAGUGGGGAAUCUUGCGCAAUGCGCGAAAGCGUGACGCAGCAACGCCGCGUGGGGGAAGAAGGCCUUCGGGUUGUAAACCCCUUUCAGUUGGGACGAAGCUCCGUCGGUUAAUAGCCGGCUGGAGUGACGGUACCUUCAGAAGAAGCCCCGGCUAACUACGUGCCAGCAGCCGCCGUAACAC